RNAcentral lists this ribosomal RNA (233 nucleotides) under uncultured bacterium. Its description in RNAcentral is "partial 16S ribosomal RNA". It matches the Rfam family "Bacterial small subunit ribosomal RNA", at positions 794 to 1026 of the family's 1533-position model. The record is from RNAcentral.
UCCACGCUGUAAACGAUGUCAACUAGCCGUUGGAGGGGUAAUCCCUUUAGUGGCGCAGCUAACGCAAUAAGUUGACCGCCUGGGGAGUACGGUCGCAAGAUUAAAACUCAAAUGAAUUGACGGGGGCCCGCACAAGCGGUGGAGCAUGUGGUUUAAUUCGACGCAACGCGAAGAACCUUACCUGGUCUUGACAUCCUACGAACUUACUAGAAAUAGUUUGGUGCCUUCGGGAA